Non-coding RNA from Podarcis lilfordi (Lilford's wall lizard), 3484 nucleotides. NCBI's taxonomy places the organism in Eukaryota, Metazoa, Chordata, Lepidosauria, Squamata, Lacertidae. The record is from the annotation of a GenBank genome assembly.
UGGGUCUCAACGUGGGGAAGAAGCCAGACACAGUUUGAGAUUCAACAGGCAGCAAACAGGAACACACAGAAUUUUAUAUUCUCUCGUGGCUGGAUUAAGGAGUUUUACCUUUUCCGCCUGCCUGCACUCAGCCUGUGCCCACUUCAAGGGCAUUUAACUGCCUCCGUUUCCAAUUAUUCCCACUCAGGUAGAGCCAAAAGGUAAAAACAAGCAGGUGGUGUGAUGUUAUCUGCUUCUACCUCUCUUUUUUUUCUUUUUCUUUUUUGGUUAGGUUCCAUAGAAGUAAAUCUAAAAAGAAGUCACCCACAACAAGAGGAGAGCUGCACCUGCCAAACAGUUUUAAGAACCUUAUGAAAGAGCAAAAGUUCCUUUGAUCUCUCCUGUGUUAAAGGAGCUUGCUAUUGCAUGCAAGCUCCCAACAUGGGGUGCAGAGCCUAAUUUUCAAAAGAGACGCAGAUUCCAGUGAUAUGCAUUAACCUAAAUUAGAGGUUAUUAAGAAAACAUGAAGCAGCUGUCCAGUAAGAGAAAAGGAACUGGCACCCAAAAUCUUUUAAGCCAUCAAGCCCAGGGCCAAAUCCAGCCCUGAGGACCACCAGGUGGACCCUUCAAGUUACCCAGGUAGGAACAGUGUCUGUGGUGGGCCCUCCCCAAAGUAGCCCUCCUGUAAAAUUCAGGUGCCAAGAUUUGCUCAAAAGAGAAAUGAACUGUGAAAUGGCAGGCGGUGCCCUGGAGAUUAUAUCUCCUCCAUCACACGACGUGUCCGUGGUUCUCAGUAACGAGCAAACAAGCAGAGCACCCUGCGCAUGCUCAGAGGCAUGCUAAGUUAGAUGACAGGGGCUGAGGCCUGGCAUUCACAACUCGUGUUAUUUCUUUGUAUUUCUCCAAACAGUUCUGGCUGGCACACACGGUUCUCUCCCCUCCCUGCAACAUUGAGAGGUGGGUUAUGCUGAGAGAAUGAGAGUUAGUACCUGGCUGAUAGCCAUCCAGUGAACUUUGCAGGUGAGCAUGGAUUUGAAGUCUGUUGCAAGUCCAGUGCCGAAGCAAGUAUACCAUGCUGUGCGUCAAGAACUGGGUAUUAGCUGAGCUCUUUCAGUUCAAGACUAAGUCACAGCUCAUUUCAUUCUUCAGGCAUCACCUCCUUCUACGCAGCCUUCCAAUCGCCAAAGUACGCCAAUGGCCUCUUAAACUCAACUUUAUUAGGAGCUGCCAUUUUGCACUACUUGAAUUGUCUGCUUAUAGCGUUUUGCUACCUGCAGCCCAAUGUUGGCGGGUGACACUCAUUAAGUAGUCCAUCCAAUAUUUCAGAAUGCAUGCCCCUCUUUCUCCUGUUAAAUACUAAACUCAGGGUCAAAACCUGAAGGUCAACACAUGCAGCAGAUGCAAAUUUGUACAAUAAAGCCUGGUGGUUUCAUUUUGCAUGAAAAGCAGACUCGGGAGGCUCCAAUUGAAGUCAAGAAGCAACAGAGCUUUACAAAGGUAAAUAUCAAUGUAGAACGUCUCGACUGGGUAGGUGAGGAGAGAGAAGCGGCUUGGGGGAGUUUUUGAGCAGGAAAGUAACCAAAAGAAUCAGCCCCUCCCCAUGGCACUCAGAUCAAAGCCUUCAGUGGCUGCUUUUCUUUUUAAGUUGUCUUAUUACACAAAUUCAUGUGCUGUUUGCCUCUGAGAUCCCAACUUUUACAGGCAAGCAACAUGUCUCCCUAACAUCUAAUCAGCCACAUAUGAGUGCCCUUUCACACUGAAUACAUUUGGAUGAAUGGACAGAAAUCUUUUGGAUUCCAAAGGAUGAAAAUGUUGGAUUCAGCUAUACUGAAAGACCUGCCAUUUUUGGCGCUAAUCUUUUCAUUCCAGCUGGAUAUUUUUAAUUGUUGUGGCCUGCUCUGGGACCUCAGGACGAAGGGUGGGAAAUAAAUCAAAAUAAUACUAACUUUGUAAGCAAGAAAUGAUGCCUAAAUUUUCUUGCUUUUGCCCCUUCAUCCCUCUUCCUUUUGUGUUGUGUCUUUUAGAUUGUAAGCCUGGAGGUUGGGACUGCCUUUAUCACUGGGAUUUAUAGAGGGAGCCUGAAAAGCAGGAUUUUAAAAAUGCUUUGAGUAAAUAAACAAACCGCGAUGUGCUCUUUUAAUUUAAAAAAAAUUCUGAAAGCAAUGUUUUAUCGCAACUUGUACCAGCUAGGAUUACCUUCUGAAAAGAAGUGCGAACUAGGAGUCCAAAGGAUGUAGGCUGUUAUGUUCUGCAAAGCCAAGGAUGCAUCUGUUCUAAGAAAAGGGAACAUUCUCAAAGUUACCUUUCCCAGAAGUUGUUCAGUCUCAUGAAAGAAUAAGGCCAGCCUGAAGUAGCCAGAGCUUCCCACUCCUUCGCUUGGCAAAGCACCAUGACGGUUUCUAGCAGCAACUAGAUAAGAGAUGCGGGGAACUCUUGAAGAAUACAAGGAGUAAAACAUCAAGGACACUGCAAGGCAGUUCAAGGUCACUGGUUGCAAAGAGGAAGGCUAGAAAGACACAGAGAAACUCCAGACACAUCGCGUGGCUGUGCAUACAUUCAGCAUAUGACAGCCACAUUACUGACCAGAAUCUGUUGGUCGCAAGAUAACUCACUAGUUUGAAAACAGUUUUGCGGACUUCUUAUGCAUUUUCAGGCACAAUUCUAACUGUGUUAACCUUGAAAGACCUCUAUAGCUUGCAGCCACUCAAAGAACCACCAGCUCCAACAGGAUGACCCCAUCUGUCAAUUAAGAUAAUCAGAGGCCAGGUGCUCCCCACCCGACCCUCUUUCCGAUGUUUUGAUUGAUGGACAACAGGCAAAGUCCUUCGUAUCUGAGCAGACCGUUGUGAGAACAGACAACACUGAGCUUGAUAAACCAAGACAGCUUCCUAUAUUCCUAGGUUUCCCUUCCUAGUCCUCUCCUAUGCAACCUCAUGUGACCAGUGACCAAUUCGACAAUAUUUUUAAAAACCUAAUCAUCUAACAAAUAAUGCAGAGCAAGUCCACAGUGAACAGAAUCCAUCAUGCCACUGCCAUGCCAUGGCACCAGUCCUCAUGAUGACCAGAAGAAAAGCAUUUGGCGUCACCUAGAAGGGGGGAGAGGGUGCAAUGCUGCGUCAGAAGGCACCCAACACACACAACUCCUGCUGUGUCACAGGACUACAGCCAGGAUGCUCACUUUACCGAAGAAUAGGGACGAAUUGGAUUGACAGCAAAGGUUUGCAAACUCAUUUUAUAAUGACCUCCCUAAGUCAAGAAAAACAGCACACUAUUUGGGCAUCAUGAAGGCAGAAAGACAGCUCAACUAGCAGCAUUUACUGUCAUCCUUGCCCAAGGGCAGAGAGAAUUCCAAACAGAAACUGCACUUUAAAAAGGCUUAAAAAAAGAAAAAGAAAUGUGUUGUGUUUGUGUGUGGGCAGAAGAGAGGAAGGGGUUGCCUUAUGGAUUUACCGUGCCGUCAAUCAUCACAGGUAUAGGACAUUGUUCUCAUUAGGGAAGAGGUGGG